ACAGAGGGUGCAAGCGUUAAUCGGAAUUACUGGGCGUAAAGCGCGCGUAGGCGGUUUGAUAAGUCGGAUGUGAAAGCCCUAGGCUCAACCUGGGAACUGCAUUCGAUACUGUCUGACUAGAGUAUGGUAGAGGGAAGUGGAAUUCCAGGUGUAGCGGUGAAAUGCGUAGAUAUCUGGAGGAACAUCAGUGGCGAAGGCGACUUCCUGGACCAAUACUGACGCUGAGGUGCGAAAGCGUGGGGAGCAAACAGG
RNAcentral lists this ribosomal RNA (252 nucleotides) under uncultured bacterium. RNAcentral's name for it is "partial 16S ribosomal RNA". It matches the Rfam family "Bacterial small subunit ribosomal RNA", at positions 525 to 776 of the family's 1533-position model. The record is from RNAcentral.